CUGGAGUCUGAUAAUUUGGAGAUUGUGAAUCUCUGGAACUCGCGUCACACCUCUCGUGCGGUGGUGGCGCCUAUCUUUUCUAAAAUUGGGGAGCAUGUUCCUUUGUUUAAGUCUUUUGUAGUUCAGCAUGUCGGUAGGGCAGCCAACGUCCCUGCUCAUCUCUGUGCGAAGCAAGCAAGCACUUUAGAUGUUACAGAGUGUUGGCUUGAUACCACACCAAGUUUUCCUGUAACUAGCCUCUGAGCAGAUUUUGCUGGAGGAGUUGAUGUUGAAUAA
RNAcentral lists this ribosomal RNA (276 nucleotides) under Triticum aestivum (bread wheat). Its description in RNAcentral is "partial small subunit ribosomal RNA". The record is from RNAcentral. Lineage: Eukaryota; Viridiplantae; Streptophyta; Magnoliopsida; Poales; Poaceae.